UGCCCCAUCAUGCUUUCGAUGGUAGUGUAUUGGACUACCAUGGCUUCCACGGGUAACGGAGGAUUAGGGUUCGAUUCCGGAGAGGGAGCCUGAGAAACGGCUACCACUUCCACGGAAGGCAGCAGGCGCGUAAAUUACCCAAUCCUGAUUCAGGGAGGUAGUGACAAGAAAUAAUGGGUCGGGGUUCUGCCCCGGGACUGCAAUGAGACGAAUCUAGACCCCUUAUCGAGGACCAACUGGAGGGCAAGUCUGGUGCCAGCAGCCGCGGUAAUUCCAGCUCCAAUAGCGUAUAUUAAAGUUGUUGCAGUUAAAAAGCUAGUAGUUGGAUUUCUGGUAGAAGGUUAGAGCGCACCUGCGUGAUGCUCGCGUCUUCUGCCAUCCUUCUGUUAACCUAGCAUGGCCUUGAUUGGUCGGCUAGGGGCUCAGAUAUUUUACCUUGAGAAAAUUAGAGUGUUUCAGGCAGGCUUGUGCCCGGAUACAUUAGCAUGGAAUAAUAGAAUAGGACUUUAGCCUCUUCUGUUGGUCUGAGGGG
This 532-nucleotide ribosomal RNA is filed under the name uncultured ciliate. RNAcentral describes it as "SSU rRNA". It matches the Rfam family "Eukaryotic small subunit ribosomal RNA", at positions 308 to 856 of the family's 1831-position model. The record is from RNAcentral. Lineage: Eukaryota; Ciliophora.